UUCUCUCUUUUGCUUCUCUAGUCCUAGAAGAAGGGUUUCAGAUACUUGCCCCACUUUCUGAUCUCUGGAUUGUACCAUUUCCUAGUGUUUCCUGUAACCCUUUCUAACGAUUUUUAGAUAUAUUUCUGUACCAAAUUUUCUUCUGUUUGAAAUACUUAAAGUGGUUUCUAUGUUUUUGACCAGAUCCUGGCUGAUGGAUAUAAUGAAGGCAUGAACUAUACUAGUUGAACAAGGAAAUGAACUUGAACCAAAUUGUGAAGGUCUCUGCAGUGAAAUAUUAAAGAUUAGCAAGCUAAACAGAGAAAAAGAUAACACUCAAGAAGCUGCCUAUAUGUAAGAGAUUCCUUUGAGAACUUUCAAAUGGCUCCUUUCUACAAAAGACCUGGGAAUACUUAACCCCCCACCACUAGCACACUCAAAGCUCAAGGCAAAUGCAUUUUCAAGAUUGACAGGGUCUUGGACUCUGAAAGUCUUUGGACCCGAGAAAAAUCGUAUUAUCUAAGAGUGCAGUUAUUCUGACACAGACUGACAUCAGGUGCCCGUGACAUGAAACACGGAAGAGAAUAAUAGCAUCUACCUUAUAGGAAGACAUACUAUAUUCUGGACCACAUAUCUGAUAAUUCUUACAGCCCUUUAAAGAUAAUCAUAACUAGAAUAUUAUCUUAUUUUGUAGCUCAUAGAUGUCAAAAGACUAGCUCAUAAUUUUAUUGUGGAUCAUAGCAGAACCAAGAUUUGAACUCAGACCUGUCUCAUUCCACAACUCAUUUUCCUUGAAGUCAAUAGAUGCCACUCAUAUCUAAAUACCUACAAAACGGGCUCGGAGGUGGAGAGGGGAUGUCUGAGGAGCCUUAGGACUACCACCCAAUGUUCUGUCUUUAGAUAGAGAUGCUAUCACCAAUCUCUCACACAUACUCCUCCUCAUCUCAUUUCUGUUCAUGUACUUGGUUCUCAAUGUAAGAUUUUGUUAGAAGAAAGAGGCAUGUUGGUAAAAUAAGAAAUAAUAUAUCAAAAAUAAAUUUUUUUGGAAGUCUCUG
This 1034-nucleotide long non-coding RNA is filed under the name Pan troglodytes (chimpanzee). Its description in RNAcentral is "lncRNA (ENSPTRG00000053314.1)". Lineage: Eukaryota; Metazoa; Chordata; Mammalia; Primates; Hominidae. The record is from RNAcentral.